CCCCGGGUGCUACGCUCAAAGUGCACCGGAAGGAAGCGAACACUGCAGCACUGUGCGGACCACAAAAAAUUCCGACUCGCGCACGCGCGCGAGAUACGCAGAGAUGGUUCUACGCAUGUGCGGGGCUGGCGCCCCUCUGCGCGACCACUUUACGGUUUCCGGAAAAACGCUCGGCUAGUUUCCCCGGGAAGCAAAGGCGCGAUGAACUUUGAACAGCCGUCGGGGUCUUUAUUUAGAGCGCGGGGCAGCUGGUGAGAGAGACAGAGCAUGAACGGGGGAGGGGCAGAGAGAGAGGGAGACACAGAAUCCUAAGCAGGCUCCAGGCUCUGAGCUGUCAGCACAAAGCCCGACGCGGGGCUCGAACCUACAGACUGUGAGAUCAAGACCUAAGCCAAAGUCGGGCGCUCAACCGACUGAGCCACCCAGGCGCCCCAUCUAGCGCCAAGAUUCUUUAGAAACAAAAUACCAAUAACGAAUUCAAUAUUGAGCACAAAUGAUAUUGAGUACAUUCAAUACUAAGUACAUAUACUAGCGUUGUGUCGUUGUGUAAGCAGGGGAGCGAGGAGAAGGUAUAGAAAAGUAUAAGGUUAAAUCUGCUCUCAAGAACUUAGUUGAAAAGUUAAAAUUCAAAACUUAAACACUUAAAAUAUAUUAGAAAACUAAAUCGUGCAUGAGACUUAAAAUUGUUAAAUAAUAAAGAAGGAUAUUUAAUGAA
This is a long non-coding RNA of Neofelis nebulosa (Clouded leopard), 715 nucleotides long. RefSeq lists it as uncharacterized. The record is from RefSeq and is a predicted model, not a curated record. NCBI's taxonomy places the organism in Eukaryota, Metazoa, Chordata, Mammalia, Carnivora, Felidae. The transcript is spliced from 2 exons.